GGAAUAUUGGACAAUGGGCGCAAGCCUGAUCCAGCAAUGCCGCGUGUGUGAAGAAGGCCUGCGGGUUGUAAAGCACUUUUGUCAGGAAAGAAAAGCGUAGGGCUAAUACCCUUGCGUCUUGCCGGUACCUGAAGAAUAAGCACCGGCUAACUCCUUGCCAGCAGCCGCGGUAAUACGGAGGGUGCAAGCGUUAAUCGGAAUUACUGGGCGUAAAGCGUGUGUAGGUGGUGACGUAAGUCGGAUGUGAAAGCCCCGGGCUUAACCUGGGAAUUGCAUUCGAUACUGCGUGACUAGAGUUUAGUAGAGGAAAGUGGAAUUCCAGGUGUAGCGGUGAAAUGCGUAGAUAUCUGGAGGAACAUCAGUGGCGAAGGCGGCUUUCUGGACUAAAACUGACACUGAGGCACGAAAGCGUGGGGAGCAAA
RNAcentral lists this ribosomal RNA (422 nucleotides) under uncultured bacterium. RNAcentral describes it as "bacterial SSU rRNA". It matches the Rfam family "Bacterial small subunit ribosomal RNA", at positions 358 to 772 of the family's 1533-position model. The record is from RNAcentral.